AAAAUCUAUAUUGUUUUAUCACAGUAUCUAGAUUUUAUAUUGUACUUUCAUAGAUGUUUUCAUUGUAAUAUUCAUAAAACGAAGGAUCAAAUUUUCAGUUUCUGAUUUACAAAUAAUUGCCUUAGGCCUUACAACCUUUGGACGUCACUGAUUAUGGUCGUCACAAACCAAGAGAGGGCUCUUUUAUAAAUGGGACGUUCAUAGUCUGAACCCCAAAUCAGGGAAACCGAACCGUGUCUUCUCGUGCCUCUUUCAUCUUCAUGUUUCUUUUCUCCUUCCUCAGUGGCUUCAGAGCUUCUACUCAAGAUCACGGUUACAAAAAUACCAUUUCUGUGGCAAUACGACAAGCUAUUCAGCUA
RNAcentral lists this long non-coding RNA (359 nucleotides) under Brassica napus (rape). RNAcentral describes it as "long non-coding RNA (BNAP_LNC002953)". Lineage: Eukaryota; Viridiplantae; Streptophyta; Magnoliopsida; Brassicales; Brassicaceae. The record is from RNAcentral.